RNAcentral lists this unclassified non-coding RNA (572 nucleotides) under Hevea brasiliensis (rubber tree). Lineage: Eukaryota; Viridiplantae; Streptophyta; Magnoliopsida; Malpighiales; Euphorbiaceae. The record is from RNAcentral.
CUGCAACUCAUUCUCACAGAGUUUUUGCUAAAAUGCGCUAUAUGCGUAUCGAGCAGUGACGAAUUCUGAUCUUUCAGAAUACGAGAGCAAAAAUAAAUGGCGAAUUGGAUCUCCUCGAAACUCAAAGUCGCUGAGACCUUCUUCGAACAGAUAGAUCAGCAAGCGGCUGAAUCGUUGAAGAAGAACGAGGAUCCGUCGCGAUAUGAGGAUAAAAAAUUUCGUGUCCCUUCAAGAACAGCACGAGGAGGAGGAGGAGGUGCUGGUGGAACGGUGUCGAUGAAGGACCAGUUGAAGAAUAAAACAGCUCAUGAAACAAACAAUGGUAAUAGCCAUAAGUAUUUUGGAAAAUCGAGUACUGAUCCUAAUGUUAAGAAUCUAAGUGAUUUUAGUAACGUUAGUAGUAAUAGCAAUGGAGGAGGUAAAGAGAUUGCAAAUGCCCCAAAAUCUUCUCCGAAGCCUAGGCCUACACUUACUGAUAGUGAUUGGACUGAGCUCCUUAGUAGUCCAACUCAGGCUACACCUUCAUCCUCUUCAAAUUGCCGUAAUGAGGUAUCUGCGAUUCGAGGGUUGAG